AUGACGCUUCCAUCCCCAAGGGCCCCCGGCCAUAGCGGCCGUGUCCACAUCCACUACCCUCGCCGACCCGGCCUCUUCACCUCGCCAUGGCGCUCCCCCUACCCCUGCGCUCCUGACUGCCCGCCUUCGCGCCCCCUCCCUGCCUGGACUUGCCACCUCGCCGUCACCAGCACAAAUGAGCAGGAGGCAAAUGAGGACUUUGUGGUGGUCACGUACAAGUUGGUGCCCGUCGACGACCCCCACGCACAACUCCACUUCCUGCAGCCGAAUCAGACGAAGUGGCUGGUCCUGCGAGUGGCAGCGGUGGUCGCCUAUGUGGCGCAGGUGGGCAGCGGUGGUCGCCCUCAUGGCAGCAGCGCAGGUGGGCGGUGGCGCUGGGCCCGAGGGUGGAUGCGCUGGUCGCUCCCGUGGGCGGUGGUAGGCAAGGUACGUAGGUGGGCGACGGUGAUCGAGCUGCGCGGGUGGCCGGCGUUGGUCGCCUCCAUGGCGGCGGUGCAGGCGGGCGGCGGCGUUGGACCCCAAUGGUGGCUCGCGCGGGCGGCGGGGUUGUCUAAUGACCUGCAGAACAGAUCUCGAUGCUUGCCUGGGCGGCUCAGAUUUCGGGUUCACCUGGACCUGAGAGCCAAAACGCCCCGCUGCAUUGUUAAAUUCCACAGGGGAAAUGAUAGUACGUACGUAGAAAUGGCAUCAUGGUGA
This 696-nucleotide ribosomal RNA is filed under the name Triticum aestivum (bread wheat). RNAcentral describes it as "partial small subunit ribosomal RNA". Lineage: Eukaryota; Viridiplantae; Streptophyta; Magnoliopsida; Poales; Poaceae. The record is from RNAcentral.